This 253-nucleotide ribosomal RNA is filed under the name uncultured bacterium. Its description in RNAcentral is "partial 16S ribosomal RNA". It matches the Rfam family "Bacterial small subunit ribosomal RNA", at positions 524 to 776 of the family's 1533-position model. The record is from RNAcentral.
UACGGAGGGUGCAAGCGUUAAUCGGAAUUACUGGGCGUAAAGCGUGCGUAGGCGGUUUGUUUAGUCAGAUGUGAAAGCCCCGGGCUCAACCUGGGAACUGCAUUUGAUACUGGCAGACUAGAGUAUGGUAGAGGGGGGUAGAAUUCCUGGUGUAGCGGUGAAAUGCGUAGAUAUCGGGAAGAACACCAGUGGCGAAGGCGGCGGCCUGGACAGAACCUGACGCUGAGGCACGAAAGCUGGGGGAGCGAACAGG